RNAcentral lists this transfer RNA (64 nucleotides) under Scolytoplatypus skyliuae. RNAcentral's name for it is "tRNA-Phe". Lineage: Eukaryota; Metazoa; Arthropoda; Insecta; Coleoptera; Curculionidae. The record is from RNAcentral.
AUUUAAGUAGCUUAAGAAAAGCAUAGUAUUGAAGAUACUAGGAUAAUUUUUAAAUUUUUAAAUA